Telopea speciosissima is the source of this 533-nucleotide long non-coding RNA. RefSeq lists it as uncharacterized. The transcript is spliced from 3 exons. NCBI's taxonomy places the organism in Eukaryota, Viridiplantae, Streptophyta, Magnoliopsida, Proteales, Proteaceae. The record is from RefSeq and is a predicted model, not a curated record.
UCUACCAAUCAACACCUUCUCUUCAACAAAAAUUGAUUUGAUGCCACGUGGCACCACUCAAGACCUCUAUAACCUUAUCCACCACAAAAAAUCUCAUCUUCACAUUAACCACUUCCAGAUCCCAAAUCCAAAACCAACCAUUUUCCUUCACAUCACAAAUGAACCCUUACUUUCUUCCAAUUACAAGCAAUCGGAAUCCUUCAAAUCUGAUAGCUUAGAACAGAUAAGAAAGAAACAAAGAAUUAAGGGAGAGGAGUGUGAGAGUGACUCAAUGGCCUCAACCUCAUCUUUCCUCCACCAUCAUGCAGUACUCUCCACCCCCACUAGAUCCUCUCCACACCGCCCUGUGCCAAUCUUCAAGCCCAUCCAGCUAGUCUGCAAAGCCCAAAAGCAGGCAAUCCAUGACGAUGACGACAACGCCACCAUCUCCCGCUGAUUGGCUCUCACAAUUCUCAUCGGUGCUGCGGCUGUUGCCGCCAAAGUUUCGCCGGCCGAUGCUGCUUAUGGGGAAGCUGCCAAUGUGUUUGAUCUCU